UUUUUUGUAGGUAAUUUUCAAAGCAACUCAGUUGUCAAGGCUUUGGUCUUUGCUUCUUAAAGAAGACGAAGGCAUUGAAGUAAUCGCGAAGUGCAAGCUUUUAGAGAAGCGUAUGAUGGAGCUCUUCUCUACUUUUGGGUGGAACUUUAGAAGAAGGAUUGAAGCUUAGCUUUUAGUUCCUCUUGCUUGUUAUCCAUCUUUAAAACUUAUUUAUGCUUUACCCAUGUAACGGGAGAGUCUUAUGUACUCGUGUUUGUGACUUUUAGGCUGUGUACACCCUCACAAGGUGUAGAGGCCGGGUUUUUUAUAAUCCAUUAUCUAAAAAAAAAGAUGAAAACAAUGGUUUCAUCACAGGAACAAAUGGUCCAGAAGGGACAGACACCUUGGAUGACAUUGUUGCUGAGCUGUUUAAUGAUGUAAGAUACUCUCCUUUUUCCUGCAGAUCGGCAGCUCGUUUUAUUCUUCUUUUCUCUCUGGUUUCGAUUUUUCUUCACAUACCUGUAGCCAGUAUUCACUACACUGCUUGAUUCAUACCGUUGGUUCAUGCUUAUAAUAUUGAAACAUUGGGCAUCUUUGAAGUAUAUUUCGUUUCGGCUUGCACUUUACACUUGGAAUUCGCUGAGAAGUGCAUCUGAAUGGAACUUAUUUUCUCACUGCAGGAUUUCAUGGAAGGUUAUGAUGCUGUCGUAGAUGGAGACCAGGAUUUUGUUCCUUAGUCCUGACUAUGUGAGAUAUGUUCUGUAUCUGCAUAGGCUAGCUGCUGAUUUAAUCCAUGGCUGUUGCACAUUGUGUGUGCAAAAUUGUGCCAAUUGUAAUAGGCUAGUUAGAAGCAGGUCAUCUUCAGAAAAAGCCCCAUUUCCAUCUAGAGUAGUCAGCUCAACAAAAGAUUUUAGCUUCGUCGUGGUUUUUGAGAUCAUAAAAAAACACAUUGAAGUUUUGUCAGGUUGAACGUGUUCUGAUUGAUGUGUUAGAUGGUUAAAUGGAAUAAUUUUCAUGAAUUAUUCGAAAUGGUGCGCUUUAUCCAGUUUUUAUCUGGCAAUACUUUUUUUUUUUCGGGAAUACAUCUGGCAAUACUGUUCCUUUCUUAGAAUUAUAGAGAUAACGCUUGUUUUACAUGCAUGACCAUUUACUGUGCAGAUAUAGAACCAAUUAUUUACUGGGAGAUAAAUGGAACCAUGGAAUAUUUGGGUGUCACAAUUUCUGAUUCUGACUGGGUGUAAGUGGGUAAGCCGCGAACCCACUUAUAGGUCAAAAUAAACGAGUUUGUGGCUUAUUUUGGCCUAUAAGUGGGUUUCGCGGGUUAGCCGCUUACAACCUUUCUGAGUGACUUAUUGAGUUUCCACUGUAUGUUACCUUAAUUUAAUUUUCUGUCUAACAGCCUGCAAGAAAGAAAAAUUCCUUUUCCUUAUUUUUUCCAUGUAGCCAAAAACAGUUGAUUACUGUGUAGACAGUCUCAUGUUUCGAUUGUCUGUCGCAGUAACUGCAUCUUCUCAUUUUGAUAUCUGUGCAAGGUCCUCGUUGUACUGAUCUAUCCAUCCCUGUAUGAUCUUAACUUCUUGUCUUCGUUGUUCUACAACCCAAUCUGGAUCAUCUUUAGUUGCUGAUCUGAAGUCCAAAUGAUGAGCUCCUGUACAAAUGGUAUCAGCAUAAGUCUGUCUGAAAAUAUUUUGACUUUACACGUUAUCUUCAGAAUCUUGUUUACCUUUCUCCGUGACAAGGGCAAUGAUACUAGAUGAUAUGUUCUUGAGCACCCUGAUUGCAAAGCAGUAGGGAGGGAUAAAUACAUUAUGGUUUGCUACAGCUGAAAAGUUUAUCUGAAUUACUGAAACUUAUAACAUGAAUGAUCAAAUGGUGAAAUCUUUCAGGCAUACCCGCCACGGCUCCAUGGGUCUCGCAUUCCGUUGGAGAAGAUGAUGUUGCUCCCAAACCUCUUGAGCACCAGGUCAAUUCUCUGUAUCAAAAUGUGGAAUGCAACACCAGGUGAAACACUUCGAAAACCUAUCAAUGUUGCUACUACCUGUUCAUAUCUGAAACUGCAAACCUGAAACAACACUCACAUUUCCACCAUAUUCAGUGGUGAUCCAGUGUGGUCUCGGACGAACACCGUAGCUCUGGAAACAGUCAUCAGAUUUCCCCUCAUAAGUGAAGGUGAAUGGAGGGAACAUGCUCUCGUUCGAUAUCGUCAUCGGCAUGACCAUUUCUGUGCAGGCCUGCAAGAGAAGUUGCUUCAGAAAACACAACUAGUAUCUAUCUCAGUAUUGUCAGUGGCAUUGUAUCAAUCACCUGCCAUCCCCAACCACUGAGGCCAUGGGGGUCUUCUCCAUCCUCUAACUGGAAGCAUGUUUGAUCUCCUGUGUAAUUGUAGUACAGACUCGCCGCUGCGAAAGCUUUGUCAACGAUGUCUGCUCCUGCAGGGAAGCCGUGGAUGAUCUUGCACAUCUGUAGAAAUUUCAUGAGAAAUUUACUGAGAACUGAAAUUCCCUGGGAAUUAUAUGUUCAGUGAGACAGAAGAACAGGCAUGGUUUCUGCUCAGCUCAGUUUGGUGUUUCUGACACAAUCUUGGUUAUGCAUUUGGUUGAAAUGUAGAGAGGAGAUUUGGACAUUGUUUGCAGAACAUAGGUAGAGAUGGCAACCUCCUUGAUAGGAUAGGCAGGCAGAUUCAUCAGGAAAUUGGCCGGGGUUGGAUAGUCCACCAUGGCUGUGUACACAAAUGCUGUCCAUAGCCAGUUUCUGAACGAGUAAACCGAUUUCACAGUCCUAAAAUUUGAGGGAGGAAAAAGGCAAUAUUGUGAACUCAGGUUAGUGUAAAUCCAAUCAAUGUCAUUCUUCAUCUAUUCAGAAGUUGGGAAGAUGACCUUUAAUCAAAGAAUGAUCAUGGCUGUCAUAUAUAUAACUGAUAAGGUCUAUGUCAUUUUUUUACAUAAACCUGUUCUGUCUGGUAUCUUAUCUAUCAAUAUAUUAGGCAAUCCUUAUUGCCUUCUUAAAAAUGGAUAAGUUUUAUGCCACCUGUAAAUUUAUAUAGUUUCUUACACAUCACGACAAUGAAGCAUAAUUACUUGAAUUUGUGUGUGUAUAUUAUCCUUUUCUGAAUCUGCAUGCUAUUUUUCUUUUCUUGGUAUUGUUUGGUUGAUCACUUGCACUGCACACAUCUGGAAUAUAAUAAUUACAAUGAUCUCAAUUUUCUGUUUUCCUUUAUAUCUAAUAAGACUAUAAGACGUGGAUAAAAUUUUGGAUAUUCGUGGCACGUUUUUCAAACUACUAAAUGGUGCGUUUCGUGCGAAAACUUUCUAUAUGAAAGUUGCUCUAAAAUAUCAUAUUAAUCUAUUUUUUAAGUUUGUAGUAAUUAAAACUCAAUUAAUCAUAUGUUAAUACCACCUCGUUUUACGUAAAACACUUAAUCUUAUUUUUCAUCUUUAUCUUUAGGAGAAAAGAACACCACCUAGGUAGUGUAUUAAACCAGCAAUAAACUUACUUGCAGGCUCUGAAGGUUUUGCUGAGCUGUAAGAGCCCUGCAUCAGUGGAUCCCCUCUCAUCUAUCAAAUCCCAAGCUGCCUUGAUAACACUGAAGCAAUUGAAGCUUUCAGACUGCAAUAUCAGUUGCAAGUUAUAGUCAGUUUACAAAAAGAUUAAUCGAUGGUCAGUCACACAAAGAUGCCAAAUCUUACUCGGAAAAAAAAUAGAUCUGGUAAAAAAAAGAGUAAACAGCUCAGUCAAGUGGUUGCUUCUAUGAAAUACAUUUUUGACAAAUCGAAGAGAAGAUUUAUAGCCAGUCGCCAAGAAAGCGACUUUAAGGUCCUGUUCUUAAUGUCCGUAUCCGUGGAUUAUUUGUGGAUUAUUCAUACCACACUUUCAAAAGUACGAUUUCUCGACAAACUUUCUAAUAGAUCACUCAUCAGCCCUCUCCACAUUUCAUUGGGCAUUUGGGCCCUUAAAAAGCAGCAACCAUGUCUGUACUCUUGAUAAGCCUAUGGCGUGGUCACUCAAGCGUCGCAAUCUAGCUAAUUAAACAGUAUAAUCACAAUCAGCCAUGCAGGUUGCAUGGUCUUCAGGGCCUUGUCUACCUGAAUCAGGUUGCCAUUUCAAUCCAGCAUUUAAGCUGAAUGUACAUGAACAGUGCAGAGGCUAAUAGUCCAUCAUAACAAAUCCAUCAACUACUAACUAACUAUACCGGCAAAUGCUCAAUGAUCAUUCAUCAUUGGACUUGUAGUGUAGGCAAUCAGCUGCAGGAGGAGACAUGGCUGCCAUGCUUACCAACUUCAAGCCAACACGUACUGUCAGUUACAGUAGAUGUACUGCAUGCUGUGACUGACAGGUCAAAAGAUGACGAUUUUUACUGUACGUGACAACGGUCCAGUGACAAUGACAGUGGGCCACACCUAGAUAUUUUUCUUUCGUCAGAUUUCCAGACAAACUGGCACCGGUCGGUCAGUAGUUGACUUUCAACAUCUAAUGCACAAUUUCCUUAAACAGUUCUAUGAAAUUAUGCAUCCCAAAAUAAACCUGUCCUUGAACAUAAAUAUUAAUUUUGGUUACAAAACGCAUAACUAGUUUUCAUUAGUAAGAUUUGAUUUGGUUAAAAAAAAUACCGAUACCUCACAGUGCCAAAUCGUUUUCAAUCAUUGGAUCUAGCUGGGCAGGAUUGACAUUGUUAGAUUCAACGAUCGAAAAUGAUUUGAUACUGUGAGGUACCAGUACCUCGAGGUAUUUUUUUGUUGGACCGGAGCAAAUAUCAUCAUUAGUACCUUGUAAUCUUGCGAGACGGCCUCGUAGAAGCUGCUCCAUGGAGUUAUGUAGUCGAACUGCAGGAUCGGAGCAGAGGACGCGACGGCGCCAAUGGUGACAUGGGGAUACUUUAGCCUGAACCAUGAAGCCAACACUGCAAACAACAAGCAAAACAACAAAAAAAAAAGGAUUAGUUCAUCCUAAUCUCGCUAAUCCUAAUACGAACAAAACCCCACGACGGCCAAUGUCAGACACGCAGUACAACAAUUAUGGUAACUUUAUGAAUCAUCCGUGUGUUUAUAAUCUAAGAGAUCCAGAUCCACGCCGCAACGAACAAAACAAAAAACACAUGACACAUGCUAAGUUCCUUAAUAGUAACUUUUAACUAUGCAUGUAAAUACAAAGCCUCGUCGUUCCGUUUAUGCUUAUACUUACUUGUAAGUCUAAAUUUAAAUUUUAAAACUUAAUUUUAAGUUAAUUUCGUGGUUUUCCAUCAGAAUUUAUUUUACAACAUUUUAUCUUGAAUCGUGCUAAGGACACGUGUAAAAAUGUUUUAUCCAUAAAUUAUUGUUUUUACUAAUAAAUCGUUUGGAUAAGCAAAUUAGUAGCGGAAAUAAUGGGACUGACAUUUUUUUUAAAUUCAUUUUUAGAAAUAAUGGAACUCACAUUUGUUUAGAUUUAUAAUUAGAAAUAAUGGGACUCACAUUCGUUUAGAUUCAUUGUCAGAGAUUGUUAUAUUAUGAGGAAUGGGACUCACAUUUGUUUAGAUUCAUUUUCACAUUUGUUUAGAUUUAUUUUUAGAAACAAUAGAAUUCACAUUUGUUUAGAUUUAUAGUUAGAAAUUGUUAUAUUCUGAGGAACAUCUAUUAUGAGACGUAAUAGUUAAUUAAUUACAAUGAGAUUUGGAUCAAACAUUUUCUCUAAAAAGAAAUUAGAACAAACAUUUUUUAAAAGGAAAUUAUGAGCAUGUUGAGGAUUGAACGUGAGGCAUUAGAAUUGAAACCACACACCAAUUACCACUGCACUGAUAGUGCAUCUCAAUACGUAAUAGUUAAUUUAAUUAUUGGUGACUUACUGCCGCCGUAGGAGCCACCGAAGACGACGACGGGGGAGGAGACGGCGGAGAGGUUGUGCUUGAGGCUGGUGAUGAGGACGGCGAAGUCGGCGAGCGCUUGCGUCGACGUCAGGUACCCCAGCUUCUCCGGCGAGCUGUUCGACUCGUUGCCGAACGGCUUCGACUCCCCGUAGAAUCGAUGCUGCUUGCUCAAAUCAUGCUCAUCAACCGUAAGUACGGUGUUAAUUCAGUGUGAUUAGUGAUGUGUGAUUGCUUGCCUCGAUGAAGACGAGCAGGGCGCCGAAGCUGGGCGCGAUGUCGAACAUGAAGCCGGUGUUGGUGGCGAACCACUCGAUGUCGCCCUCGUUGCCGGUGUACACGAAUAUCGGCCCGGCCGGCGUCUCGCCGGCGGCGGCGCUCCGCCGCCAGAAGGUGUCGUUGACGAGGUACUUCUGGUAGAAGACGGCCGACGCGUUGGGCGUGAAGGUGAAGUGGUCCAGCUCCUGCGGGAAGUAGUGCGCCGUGAACGGCUUCGCCGCCGCCGCUGUGCCGUUCCCUCCGGCCGCCGCCGCCGCCGCGGCGACGACAUACCUGCUGCCGCCGGCGGAGCUCGCCGGCCGCCGCUGCUGCAGAGCUUGCAGCUGCAGGGGAGGGACUCCGGGGAAGACGGGGCUAGCUGCAGCUGCUGCAGAGGGGGCUGCGACGAGGAGGAGGAGGAGAGCUGCUGCUAUGGCGGCGAGAGGGUGGAGUGGCGAGGCGGGUGCCGCCAUUUUUGCAGCUCGUCCGUCUCACUCGCUCGUGUGGGGGUUUAUUAAAGGAGCAGAGAUGCUCUGCCAUGUCGGGCCCACAUGUCGGUGCCCCAAACGGCAGGUAAGACGUCGGAGUAUGGUAGUACGUAUUUUGUGGAAUCUGUGUCCGGCCUUGCAUAUAUUGCAUGCAAAUCGUUCUGAUGCUUUCGUGAGUUUUAUCCUUAAAAAAAAAGGCGAAUACUAGGAAAUAACUUAAUAUCAAAUAAUUAGAAGGGGUGAUACUUCGAACCCAGAUCGUCUAGCCCACCACCUUAUGAAGUUAGCCGAAAAAUUCUUAUGUGUUUCUCCUUCCGAUUUGAACAAGAAUAUAUACUAAAGAUUAAUUGUCAUUUAAAUUGACGGACUUUGGGUCCAACGACUUUGGAUCAUAGCGUGUUACGUCUGAGCUCUAGGAUAUUGUCAUUUGGUUUGUGGUCUUGUGGACAAUAUCGUAGCCUCGUAGGAGACUCGGCUAUUACAACAUGUAUCAGCAAUACAAUGUGUCCCUGCAUCAAAAGAUACAGCUACCUCUAGCAUUUAAAUUUGUUCAAAAUAUGACUAUUUUUUCUUAUUAAUUUCAACUGAUCACAACAAUCGCCAAUUAAUUUCUUCAUCAUUUUCUUAUCUCAACCAAUUACAACCAUUCGCCACAUCACUUUACCUACUUUAUUAAUCUUCGUGCUUGCAUAGUUUCAAAGGUAGGAGUAACUAUAUUCUGGGAUGGACAGAGAAAAUGAGAGAAUGUUUAUGGUAGUUGAUCUUAAACGCAUUUGCUCCUAAGCCUCUUUUGGAAUGCAAGGAAACUCAGACACAAAACAUGGAUAAAAUUACAGAAAAUAAACUAAUCUAUAUAGCAUACUAUAAAAAUUCUUACAUUUUAAAAAGAGCACCUAAGAUCGAAAGGCUGAAAAUUAUUUCGAGGCAUGGAACCCCAUUUGCCUUUAUUAAAGAAACACGCUCUCUACUAGUACACAAGUCCGGAUAUCGUCCACACACAAGGUGCCGAUGCAGACCGGCUGCAUCAUUCCUAACGCAACCGGACGCUCUAGAGUCUAGAAACAAUCAACAAGAGAGAAAAUUGGCUUCUAGAGUGACAUGGACAGAUUGUUUGCCUGUUGAAGCUUGCACAUGUGGAUUACCUCGAGGAUAAUCCCCCGAAAUGUGGGGAAAAUAAAGUAAUUAAAUGGUCUCUCUCUCUCUCUCUCUCUCUCUCUCUCUCUCUCAAAUGACAAAAUGAUCUCUUUUGUGUAUAUAUCAUUAUCCUAAGCAAAUCCAGUUGAUCAUAUUCAGUCAUGGGUCCAUUCAUGUUGUCCAAUCCAAAUCAGCUGCAAAGCUAGGCUAAGCAUCACGCGUCAAAGGCGUUUGGAAUAUUUCAUCCAAUGCGUGUAGUGUGUGGAAACAUAGGAAUUAUAAUGGUAUUGGGCUGAUUGAUUGCUUGCACAAGGCUCAUCUUGCCUCUUAUACGUAGUAGAUGCAGUGUCUUUUCAAAAAAGCUUUUUUUCUUUCUUUGUUUGAUGGAAAAGCGUUUGCAGGUUAUCAGUGGAGUGAGCCAGAAUGACCUCACGAGUUUGUUUGAUGAAAAAUGUUCCAUUUGUCUCGUAUGUGGUCAAAAGGAACAUGUAAAUUCCUGCUUAAAUUGGACCCUUUUCAUGUACUAAAUAAAAUACAUGCAUUCGAAAACUUGCAAUUCUCCUGUAGAGAUCAGAUAGAGACAUCUCAGUGCAAUCAAGCAUCUUAGUGACAGGAAUCUGCCGACGGGGCAGGCUGAUGAGGGUAUUGUUUGAGCCCAUCAUGUGGCCGUGGACUAGUUGGGCUUUGUUUGGGCCCACAACUGGUGUCAAUGAUCCCAAGAUUUGACCUUCAGCUGCAAAAAGGAGACAGCUCAGAGCUCCAUCAUAGCGGCAAUCUACGUUGCCAUGAACUUCUGCACGGCUAAAUGUUUUGCCCUUUCCCUACUCUCCCGUGCUCUAGCGUCAGCUUCAGAAACAAAAUCUACUGCCAAGUAAACGUAACAAAUGCACCUCAAUUGAUUAGGUUUUCUACGAUGAAAAACAACCCAUCCAAGUUUAAAUUCUAAACUUGACAUAAAUGCAUGCUCAUAUUUAUGAUUAGUUAAUUUUUUUCAAAGGUAAACAAUAUACCUGUUAGUAGCGAGACAUCCAUAGUGGCAUCGUCAAUCUUUCAAACUAGUCUUUCGAAGGUGUUUAUAAGAGUAAGAAUAUGCAUAUUUAUUUAUAAGGAUGAGUAUGCGUGCAUUGUGAGCGGUUGCAUUUAUAUUGUGUUUCUCAUAAAAAGGAACAAAAUUUACCCACAUCCCAAUGAGCGAGCGUGGUAACUUAUCAAUCUCAAUAUAUAUCGGACCAAUCUUAUGAAGAUGCUAACUUAGGAUGGGACAUUUAAGAACCUAGGAUGGGAGGUUCUUAUAUUUUGGGACGGAGGGAGUAUUUAUUAAGAUAAGUGCGAUUCGUUAUGAACAAUUGUAUUUAUACCAUGUUUCUUACUAACUCCGUCCCAAAAUAAGUGCAGUCAUGGAUAUCCGUGCCCAACGUUUGAUCGUCCGUCUUAUUUGAAAAAAAUUUGAAAAUAUUUAGUCAUACAUAGAGUACUAUUCACGUUUUAUCAUCUAAUAGCAAUAAAAAUACUAAUCAUAAAAAAUUCAAAUAAAACGAACAGUCAAACGUUGAACGUGAAUAGUGCAAAACUGCACUUAUUUUGGGACGGAGGGAAUAAAAAAUCUACUAACGUCCCAAGGAACGAGCGUAGACGGUGACAACUCGCACGUCAUUAGUUGCAACCGUACAUCAUUCCCGUGCUACAGGGCGCCCCUUGAUCAGUCGUGUCAGAACACUCUGCUGCAAACGGUCAAAAGAAGCAGGUUACCACCAUGUCCACUAGUGAUGGUUACCACCAAAAUCUACCCAGUUGACGAACGCACAGACAGUGUCAGUCAUCACAAGGCAACAAGAUACUCAAACUGACCUUGCAAAAAGCUCAGUGAUUUUUCAAUCACUCGCUGCGGUCCUGCACAAGAUCUGGAAAUCUAGGCGUCGGAGAGUCCCCAACUGAUCAUGUGAGUGCAUGAAAGCACUAAGCAGACAAUGCUGUGCCACAGCAGUGGCUUGUACAAUGCAGCAGUACAGCAGAAUAGUUGAUCAAAUGAGUGCAAUAGUGGAUCAAAUGAGUGAUGCACUUUUACCGAUAAACACUGAAGGAAUAUGAUAGCGAUAAGAUAACAGAUCCACUAUAUAGUGUCACCCAUGAAAGAGUUGAAACCCUAUAAUCAGUUCCACAGUAAACUCCAACAAGUGCACGGAUUUAGCAGCAAAGAUCAAAUAGGCUUUUCACUCUUAAGGCAAAUAUGAAGGGUAGAGCUAUCAGAUUAAUAUACAAGGCACGUCAGAUCACUAUUACAUCACAAAUAUUGCAUUGGCAAAUAGUUCACUGCCAAAACCAUAAUGCCGGUUGUUGGGAGAAGACAACAACAAUAAAACAAAACAAGAAAAAAAGUGCUGGUAAAGGCCGAAGAUAAAUAAUACAUAAAAGGAAGGCUUAUUUUGUUCUUUGGAACUAUGUAUAUACAAGAUGGUGGCCUUGUUUGUAACCUGUCUAAGUAGGGAAAUCAGCACAGACAUGUGACAAUGCUCAAAGCAUUUUAUCCCGUGAUAAUUAUUAUGAGGAUUUAGAUGGUUGGUACCUCCAAUUUGCAUGAAUCCUUUCUGUUCGAAGUCUGCCAGGAAAACAAAACAAUGCGAUGUGUAUGUAUAAUAAGCGUCAAUACAAAUACAGAGAAUAAAAGAAACUAAAACUUGCAAACUAUCAAAAUAAGAGGGGAGAUUUUUGCCUUUCGCCACGGACUUGUUACAUCAUCUCAUACAUGCCACUUGAUUGGGUCAGCGCAACAUGUAAGUGCAAAUUCAGUGGCAUAAAUGAAAGUAAAAAUGUGUUUUAUGAAUCCGAAAAAAUCAGUUCUAUACAAUUAUUAGCUUCUCAGCAAACAGAAAAAUACCAGACAUGGAUCUAUACAGAUACAAUACAACCAUAAGAAACUAAGGACUGUUUUGGGCAAAACAUGGUUGAAAACAAAGAAAAUGUACUAGAAUGGCUCAGGUUAACCCAAACUGUCAAUUCCCAACAGUUACAAAUGCCCACGGUUCUGGCAACAUGUACAUACUACCUCCGUCCCUCAGUACAUGAACAAAUGAGUAGAAUCAUUUAACAUGUACUAACAAGAAAUAGCUGCAACCGGUAACUUGCUGGGGAGCAAGGCCUCCUAGUAUGACAGCCGAUUGAACAUAUUACCAAGGAACCAAGGAGAUGCCAAAUGAUCUCCAAGGGGCAGUCAAAUCAUCACAGCCACCAGUUCCAAAUGCCUGUGUGGUUACAACCGUAAGAAACUAAGGACUGUUUUGAGUAAAACAUGGUUGAAAACAAAGGAAAUGUACUUGAAUGGCUCAGAUUAACAACUGUCAAUUCCAAACAGUUACAAAUGCCCUUGGUUCUGGCAACAUGUAACUACUCCCUCCAUCCCAGUGUACAUGAACAAAUGAGUAGAAUCAUUCAUUAUAGCAUGUACUGACAAGAAAUAGCUGCAACUGGUAACUUGCUGGGGAGCAAGGCCUCCUAGCAUGACAGCUAAUUGAACAUAUUACCAAGGAACCGAGAAGAUGCCAAAUGAUCUCCAAUGGGCAGCCAAAUCAUCAUAGCCAUUCAAGAAAUAAAAAAAUAACAAACAAUGAAAUAUGCAUCCACAGAAGUAUGCUGUGAAAGUAUGAAACAACAAAAAGAAAGAUCACGCUAAAGCUAACUGAAUAAACAGUUAACAUUCCUUUAUUAGUGUUACAUUACUUAAUUUUAGAAAAAAGAAACAAUUAAGCUCCUAUGAGCAAGUAUUGUCAUCACCGUGCAGUAAGCAAGUUAGACUACAAGUAUUGCCCUGGUACCAUAACAUCCCCCCAUUUAUGAUUUAUUCAUUCUGGGAAGACUUCGUGCUCAUUAAAGUGCCUGCUGGUAAAAAAGUAAGAACUAAAAUACCAUUGAGCUGAUUACCAACAGGAUAUUGCAAUGGGUAAAAAGUAGCAAACUGCCAUCGCGAGACAUGCUUGCUAAUUUGCCAGAGCACUGUAAAAUGUCGGUUGUGGGAGAAGAUAACACGAAUAAAACAAAAGGAAAUAAGUUGCGCUGAAGUGCUGAUAAAGACUGAAGAUAAAUAAUACACAAAGACGACUAUUUUUUGGUCGGUAGGGAUAUCAGCACAGGCAUGUGACAAUGCUCAAUGCACCCAUUGGAAAUUAGUAUUGAGAAUUCAAACGGUUGGUACCUCCAAUGGGUGAAUCCUUUCUGCUCUAAAUCUAGCCAGGAAAACAAAAUGAUGCAACGCGUUUGUGCAAAUUCCGUGGAAUACAGAAAAUAAAAUAAAUUUACAAACUCAAAUAUCAAAACAAGAGGGGAGAUUUUUUGCCUUUCGCCACUGGAUAAGAUCAAGGCAACGUGCAAGUGCGAAUUCAGUGGCAUACAUGAAAGGCAAAAUGAGAUUUAUGAAUCCAGACAACUCGGAUCCAUACAAGUACAACCAGGAAAACUAAAGACUGCUUUUGGGUAAAAUAAUGAUUGAAAAGAAAAGAAAUAUAUUUGAAUGGCUCAGAUUAACCUAAAUGGCAAUUCCAACAGUUCUGAAUGCCCGUGGUUCCGGCAACAUGUAAGUACUCCCUCCGUCCACUUUGUACAUGAACAAAAUGAUGAGUAGAAUCAUUCGUUAUAGCAUGUACUGAGAAGAAAUAGCUGCAACUGGUAACUUGCUGGGGAGCAAGGCCUCCUAGUAUCACAGCUAAUUGACAUAGGCAUGUCCUGUAGCAAAAUUUGCCUUGAACAUAUUACCAAGGAACCAAGAAGAUGCCGAAUGAUCUCCAAUGGGCAGCAAAAUCAUCA
Molecule: long non-coding RNA, 12489 nt
Filed under: Oryza sativa (Asian cultivated rice)
Lineage: Eukaryota; Viridiplantae; Streptophyta; Magnoliopsida; Poales; Poaceae
Description: long non-coding RNA (OSAT_LNC001213)
Rfam family: MIR812 microRNA precursor family (bases 9080-9276)
Source: RNAcentral